RNAcentral lists this ribosomal RNA (131 nucleotides) under Mesocricetus auratus (golden hamster). The record is from RNAcentral. Lineage: Eukaryota; Metazoa; Chordata; Mammalia; Rodentia; Cricetidae.
UGCUACGGCCAUACCACCCUGAACGUGCCCGAUCUCGUCUGAUCUCAGAAGCUAAGCAGGGUCGGGCCUGGUUAGUACUUGGAUGGGAAGGGGUUUUUAUUCCCUCUCUGACUGGUCUUGAGUCAUUGUAC